Molecule: non-coding RNA, 24 nt
Filed under: Cricetulus griseus (Chinese hamster)
Lineage: Eukaryota; Metazoa; Chordata; Mammalia; Rodentia; Cricetidae
Source: RNAcentral
AGAGAAUCUGAACAAGCGGGUCUA